RNAcentral lists this ribosomal RNA (403 nucleotides) under Staphylococcus capitis. RNAcentral describes it as "bacterial LSU rRNA". It matches the Rfam family "Bacterial large subunit ribosomal RNA", at positions 186 to 585 of the family's 2925-position model. The record is from RNAcentral. Lineage: Bacteria; Bacillati; Bacillota; Bacilli; Caryophanales; Staphylococcaceae.
CGGAGAACUGAAACAUCUUAGUACCCGGAGGAAGAGAAAGAAAAAUCGAUUCCCUGAGUAGCGGCGAGCGAAACGGGAAGAGCCCAAACCAACAAGCUUGCUUGUUGGGGUUGUAGGACACUCUAUACGGAGUUACAAAAGAACAUGUUAGACGAAUCAUCUGGAAAGAUGAAUCAAAGAAGGUAAUAAUCCUGUAGUCGAAAACAUAUUCUCUCUUGAGUGGAUCCUGAGUACGACGGAGCACGUGAAAUUCCGUCGGAAUCUAGGAGGACCAUCUCCUAAGGCUAAAUACUCUCUAGUGACCGAUAGUGAACCAGUACCGUGAGGGAAAGGUGAAAAGUACCCCGGAAGGGGAGUGAAAGAGAACUUGAAACCGUGUGCUUACAAGUAGUCAGAGCCCGUU